GUGUUCACUUCAACAGCACAUAUACCAAAAUUGAACCCAUACAAAGAAGAUUAGCAUGGCCCCCAUGCAAGGAUGACACACAAAUUCAUGAAGCAUUCCAUACUAAA
Molecule: small nuclear RNA, 107 nt
Organism: Cervus hanglu yarkandensis (Yarkand deer)
Lineage: Eukaryota; Metazoa; Chordata; Mammalia; Artiodactyla; Cervidae
Source: Ensembl